RNAcentral lists this ribosomal RNA (305 nucleotides) under uncultured bacterium. Its description in RNAcentral is "partial 16S ribosomal RNA". It matches the Rfam family "Bacterial small subunit ribosomal RNA", at positions 335 to 641 of the family's 1533-position model. The record is from RNAcentral.
GUCCUACGGGGGGCAGCAGUGGGGGAUAUUGCACAAUGGGGGAAACCCUGAUGCAGCGACGCCGCGUGAGUGAAGAAGUAUUUCGGUACGUAAAGCUCUAUCAGCAGGGAAGAAAAAAAGUCCACAGGACUUUGGACGGUACCUGACUAAGAAGCCCCGGCUAACUACGUGCCAGCAGCCGCGGUAAUACGUAGGGGGCAAGCGUUAUCCGGAUUUACUGGGUGUAAAGGGAGCGUAGACGGCUGUGCAAGUCUGAAGUGAAAUGCCGGGGCCCAACCCCGGAACUGCUUUGGAAACUGUACAGC